UACGUAGGGUGCGAGCGUUAAUCGGAAUUACUGGGCGUAAAGCGUGCGCAGGCGGUUAUGUAAGACAGGUGUGAAAUCCCCGGGCUUAACCUGGGAACUGCAUUUGUGACUGCAUAGCUAGAGUACGGUAGAGGGGGAUGGAAUUCCGCGUGUAGCAGUGAAAUGCGUAGAUAUGCGGAGGAACACCGAUGGCGAAGGCAGCCCCCUGGGCUAACACUGACGCUCAUGCACGAAAGCGUGGGGAGCAAACAGG
This 253-nucleotide ribosomal RNA is filed under the name uncultured bacterium. RNAcentral's name for it is "partial 16S ribosomal RNA". It matches the Rfam family "Bacterial small subunit ribosomal RNA", at positions 524 to 776 of the family's 1533-position model. The record is from RNAcentral.